CCGGGGGUAGGGAGGUAAUGUCUGGGAAACGGCUCGAUGGAGGGGGGUAAUAGCUGGAAACGGUAGCUAAUACCGCAUAACGUCGCAAGACCAAAGAGGGGGACCUUCGGGCCUCUUGCCAUCGGAUGUGCCCAGAUGGGAUUAGCUAGUAGGUGGGGUAACGGCUCACCUAGGCGACGAUCCCUAGCUGGUCUGAGAGGAUGACCAGCCACACUGGAACUGAGACACGGUCCAG
This 235-nucleotide ribosomal RNA is filed under the name uncultured bacterium. RNAcentral describes it as "partial 16S ribosomal RNA". It matches the Rfam family "Bacterial small subunit ribosomal RNA", at positions 95 to 334 of the family's 1533-position model. The record is from RNAcentral.